RNAcentral lists this ribosomal RNA (253 nucleotides) under uncultured bacterium. RNAcentral's name for it is "partial 16S ribosomal RNA". It matches the Rfam family "Bacterial small subunit ribosomal RNA", at positions 524 to 776 of the family's 1533-position model. The record is from RNAcentral.
UGCGUAGGGGGCAAGCGUUGUCCGGAAUCAUUGGGCGUAAAGAGCGUGUAGGCGGUCCGGUAAGUCGGCUGUGAAAGUCCAGGGCUCAACCCUGGGAUGCCGGUCGAUACUGCCGGACUAGAGUUCGGAAGAGGCGAGUGGAAUUCCCGGUGUAGCGGUGAAAUGCGCAGAUAUCGGGAGGAACACCUAUGGCGAAGGCAGCUCGCUGGGACGUGACUGACGCUGAGACGCGAAAGCGUGGGGAGCAAACAGG